AAUGUCAUCCAUAGUUUUCCUACAGGGAUUGUGGUUAAGGGCAGAUUUUGAAGGACACCGACGUAACUAGAACAAUUUCUCUAACAUCGUUAUAGAGAAUUUUUAAUUCCGGUUUUAUUUAUUAAAUAAUUUUCUCUUAAGUUUGAUAUAGUUAACAUCUUUUAAUUAGUUUGUUUGCUUCUUUUUCAGGCUUGUUAAUGUAAUACUUUUCUUCGCUUAAUUUUUGUUUUUUUUUCUAUUAAAACACCCUAAUAUACCAAUAUUUGUAAAUAAAUAGUUGGACUAUACUUGAUAAAUUACUUAAAAAAGGAAUUAAAACUAAUAAAAUCUAUAAUUCAUUAUCAAUAAUUCAAGGGUUCACAUUUUAAUUAUCAGCUUGUAAAUACCUAAUUUCCGAAUUACUUGGUUUUAGUUUGCAAGCUCAUUAAACAUUUUAUGAACCGUCAGAAUAGAAAUCGCUUUAUACGUGGACUUGAAAGUUGUGUUAGUUGACUUUUGUUUCAAAUCUAAUUCUUGUUUAUGCCAUCAAAUUCUACAUGUGCAAUAUAGCAUCUCCAUCUUUAUCUCAAAUACUACAAACCUUUUUUUAUUGUAGUAUUUAGUUUUUUUCCUUCUUGAAUCGGAUAUUCCUUUUGC
Non-coding RNA from Schizosaccharomyces pombe (fission yeast), 636 nucleotides. The record is from the annotation of a GenBank genome assembly. Lineage: Eukaryota; Fungi; Ascomycota; Schizosaccharomycetes; Schizosaccharomycetales; Schizosaccharomycetaceae.